RNAcentral lists this long non-coding RNA (19506 nucleotides) under Medicago truncatula (barrel medic). RNAcentral's name for it is "long non-coding RNA (MTRU_LNC008694)". Lineage: Eukaryota; Viridiplantae; Streptophyta; Magnoliopsida; Fabales; Fabaceae. The record is from RNAcentral.
UGCAUCGGAGAAACACGAGUGCAUAAAAGAGCUACAUUGAUCAUGAUCAUCGCUUCCUCUUUGUUGAAAUCUUCACCUAGCCUCUCAUCAAUUAGGUCCAUUAUGUUACCUUCUUCCUUUAAGAAAUGCACCUGAUAAAGAUGAAAUACAAACAAACUUCAAGAUAUUGUGAUGAAGACUCAAAUUGGAUAGAAGGUAUAAAGUUAUGGAUGUGUUAGUUACCCAAUCAACAAGAGAGAAGCAUUCAUCCCUUGGCUUAUUCAUGGUGUUAUGCUUCCCACUAACAAUUUCCAAGGCAACGACUCCAAAACUAUAAACAUCCACUUUCUCCGUCAAAUAUCCGUGCAUUGCAUAUUCUGGAGCCAUAUAUCCACUGCAACAUCAAAAUUUAUAUAUUAACUCAAGUGGAUUAAACUAAAUUUUAAGAGGUUUUAUUCUUUUCUUCCUCACAUUACACUUAGAAAAUGAUAAAUACCCUUCGACAAAUUCCAUAAAAAAAAAGAACAAAUUGUAUAUAGAACUCACUAAGUGCCGGCUACUCUAGUAGUUAUAUGUGUGUGUCCGUCAUCUUUAAGCUUGGCCAAACCAAAAUCCGAUAUCUUUGGAUUGAGAUCUUUAUCGAGCAACACAUUAGUUGCUUUGAUGUCCCUGUGAACUAUCUUAAGCCUCGACUCUUCAUGUAGGUAAGCCAAACCUCUAGCAAUACCGACGCAAAUUUUCUUCCUUGUCGACCAAGUCAAUUUCAAUGGACAGUUUUCUUUGGCUUCAUUUUCAAAUGUCAUAGAAAAUUAGACGACAAAAUCAUAUGGUGUGUGUACACUGUACACAGAGAGACACACACAACAUUGUAGAUUAUAUUAAUGAAAGAGCUACAAAACUUGACUACAUGGAUAAAAGGUUUACCAAACAAAGCACAAGCAAGGCUAUUAUUUUCCAUGUAUUCAUAUAUUAGCAAUAACUGAUCUCCCUCCAUACAGCAACCGUAGAGCUUAACUAGACAAGGGUGUUGCAAAGCAGAAAUCAAGCCGAUCUCGUUUAUAAAUUCGCGGUUCCCUUGCUUUGAUUUAGAAGAAAGCUGCUUAACAGCUACUAUUUUGCCGUCUGAAAGAACACCCUGCAAUUUCAGGAGUUUAUAUUAUAUCUAUAUAUGAAAGAAGUUAUCGAGAAGUGAAAACAAUAAUAGAUAUUUCAAUGACAUUCAAAUUUCAAAUGAAAGUGUAGAUUGUCCACAAUACCUUGUAAACAGGACCAAACCCGCCCUCUCCAAUCUUAAACGCAAUAUCAAAGUUGUUAGUUGCUGCUUUGAUUUGCCGUAACGUAAAUAGCCCAGGUUGGAAAUCUAAACCCUUUAGCUCUGUUGAUUGCAGUAAAAAAGAAUAUAUAAAUAAAAUCAGAGAUAUUUUUUGAGUAACUUCCACAUCUAGACAUAAUGGCAGCUUUGACUAAAGAAUCUAUAUUUUUAUAAAAUCAAAUUCAGCCUGUUAUGUGUAUAAAGGAAUUUCCAAAAAUUCAUUUUUAUGGUUGCAAAAUCCCAAUUUUGCAUCAAAAUUCCUUAGAGUUUUAGAGUAAAACUAUCUUAGGUCUUACCCCUUUCUAACGGACCUAUAUGUUGUCGACAUCUUCUCCACCAAUAUAUACUGAAUACCAGUAAGAUAACUAGUCCUCCAGCAACAGCAGUCACGACAAUUUUCCAAACAGGCAUGCUACUGCGCUUUUCCACUGGGGGUGUAAAGUCUGUUUAAUUAUGAUAAAAUAUAAAAGACUUGCAUAUAGACCAUAUUAGAGGAUGAUGGAAUAAGAAGAACCAUGAAGAACUAUAACUGACCAGGAUCAACCGAUAUGGCCGAUAUAAGAGGACCAUAUACUGAAUCAAAUGGGAUACCGGUUGUCCCUUUCCCCGCCCAAUGAAGGCGAAUCUCCAACGUAUUACUAGUCACAUUAGCAGUGAAAUUCUUUAUGAUUGCCUUACCAACUCCACCGGCUUCUUUUGCAAUAUUGAAAUCCUUCAGCACCAACCUUCCCUGCAAAAUGGUUUAUAAUGGUCAAAGGAAACUUGUUCAAUACUAAACAUGUUGCUGAAAAACAUAAGAUGAUGAGAUCAUGCACCUGAAUAUAUAUGUCAAAUAUACGUCUUCCAAGGCUGUUAUAUGUUUGAUCAUCCGUAAACAUUAUCUCCGCAAAAUGGAGAUUUACACUGUAGUUUCCAUUUCCCAGGCAAAAUCCAUAAUAUGUUAGAGAAAGCGGCGAAACCCGUGCAUCCAUAUACAGUUUGGCAUUUUCCAUGGCAAGGUUGGUUUUUUUAGACCAGGUAUAGUAGUCCGCAAGGCUACUAUUACUAUCGAAGAAGUGACCAGUGUUGCUAAGUGCCCAGUUUGAUCCAGUUCGCUGAAAGCUUGCUGGUCCAACUUGACUUGAAUCAUCAUCAUAUGUCAAGCUUUCAUUAGAAGUUAUUUGCUUACCACCACAAUUUAUACGGAGAGAGUACGAAGCUGGAAUGGUCAAAAGAAAAAAAAUGCUAAGUACAAUAAGAUGAUCACAUUAUAAAUAAAAAUUGUAAGAUUAGAACCUAGAACAACAACCUUGGUUCGAAAGAAAACAAAUAUGAAAAACGCAAAAAGAGAAUACAAGGAUUUAUUGUAGAAAUAAGCUCAAAUAAGCAUUUGUAAGCUCAAAUAAGCCAAUUCAAACAGGCCCUAAGUAGAAAUUAUUAAGUUAAAAGCACCAGCAGGUAUCCUACAAUCUAAAGGAAAACCACGACAAAUCAACUUACUUUUAGGACAGCUGAAGUUCCCCAAACAUGAAACCCUUCCCCUAAGAAAAAAUAAUGGUGUGUAACAUAUCAGCAUAAUGACAUUAUAAAAUGUAUAAGCUAUAUGCAUAAAAUAAUUUAUUAUGAUUCAUGAGUAGUACAAAACUUACAAGUUAUUUCGCUUUGAAGAUGAUGCAAACAAGUUCCUGCGGCACAUGGUAAACAGAAAAAAGAUUAUAUAGUUUCUUAAAAUUGUUGAAACAAAAAAAGUAUGAAAAAACAAGGAUUCUUACACGGUUCCCUGUUGACAUGUCAACUGCUCUGGAUUUUCAAUGCUCAAAUUGUUAUACGAAAGAUCUCUGCAUGUGUCAAAUUAUGCAUGUGAUUCAGAAAUAAAGAUGUAACAAAGAACUAUAUGUAACGCUUUUUGGUAUAGAAAUAUCGAAAACUAGUUGUACAAAAAUUUAGCAUGCAGAAGUAAUAAUUAACCUCAAUAAACUAAAUAAGCAGCGUUUGAAGGAUUACUCACGUGUAGUCUGGUCUAGCAAUCCAAUUUGGAAGCGGUCCAGUAAACAGGUUUCCAGUUAAGUAUCUAAGUAAAACAGUAAGAUAAGAUUAAUGAAGACUAGAUUAUAGAUUAAUGAUAUCAAGAAAGAACUUUCUCCAAUGUUCUCAUCUUUCUCCUUAUCUCCACUUAUAGAUUUGCCUAUUUUCUAAUCAUUCUCAAUUUAGAUUUUCAGCGAGAGGCAGUGACAUGAUUAUCUCAUGGUGAUUUUAGAAUUAUAUAUAAAUUUAUUGGUCCGUAGUUUAAGAACAAAAAUAAAUAAAAUGUAUGCACAUAGACAUAGUUCUAGAUUGCAGUUCGCAACUGCAAUAGGGUUUUAGAGGUUUCUGCAAUGGCAUCUAUUAGAGAUAUAGAUUAGUAGCAUAUUAGUCCUAGUAGAGAGUAGUAUAAAUAACUUCUAACCACCCCAUUAGAGGGACUUUUCUCAUUUUGUAAUAUUCCAUUUCCAUCAAUAGAAAGAGUUUCUUAGUUUUCUCUCCUUCCUUCCAUGGAUGCCAUGCUUCCUAACAGCAUCACACUGCACUUGUGGCCGUAUUUUCCUGCACUGUUGCAGUGUAAUUGCAUUUUAGAACCAUGCAUGCACAUGGACUUGAAAUGGAUAAAUAUUCAUGAGAGAAAUGAAUCAGAUUCACUAUUUUCCACUUGCGGCUCUAUCUAAAAUCCAAUCUAUUAAUAAUCUCGUUGCUUCGUUGCAAACAAUUCUAACCUUGACUACAUCUGUUUAAAUCACACUAAUAUCUUGCAGGUAUCUUUAAGAAUUCAAUUUGGUGUAUACAAGAAACUCGGAGGAUAUUGCUUACAGCAUAUUUAUGUUCUUCAGGCCACCCAAGGUGUUCGGAAUCGGUCCAGUUAAUUUGUUAAAGCUGAGAUCUCUGAAAAAAAUUAUGCUCAGAAUAAAUAUUAUUCGACAAGAAAAAUGGUAUAGUCCCCAUAACAUAAUAAAAGAAGCAUCUUGUUUUUCACCAAAAUAUGAGUACUGAUUGCAUCUAUUGUAACUGGUUCUAACACAUGUGAAUAAUGCAAGUGAAUAAUGCAAGAAACUUCCUAGCAUUACUUACAAAGAUUUUAAAGUAGUAAUAUGUCCAAGAUAGUCGGGAACUUCUCCUAUAAGAUUGCAACUCCUCAGCACUCUGUCAAAAAAAUUGAUACUAUGUAAAUUUUUAAGUGCAAACAUGCACUUAUGCUAAUAAUCCAAGCAAUUCCCUUACAAUGUUUCAAUAUUUGUCAAGCCAAUAAGUUGCGGAAAUGGAGAAUCUGAUCCUUUCAAGUCGCUUAUUCUCCUGCAUAACAUUUCUUAAUCACUGUAAAACUCAAUAAGAGAAAAAUUGAAUUUUAAAUCCUUGACCAAAAUUUAUAAAGCACUGACACAAAUACCGAACACGAUACUGACGUUGACAUACAUGUAGUGUGUCGGACACUAGACUCGCAUUCAAUUUGAAACAUCGGUGUUAAAGAUCGCAAGAAAAUACAUCAUACUUACAAGUCAUUGAGGUUUUUCAGAUAUGAAAUUCCAGAAGGAAUUGGACCACUCAACCCACUCCCUUGCAUCACCCUGUCAAAUUAAAAGCAAUUCUUUCAACAAACCAGCUUAACUAAGAAAAAAAAUUAUGAUUUAGAAUUUCACGAGAAGAAACAAAAAGGUUCACACAUUCUCUCAAGAAUUGUCCAGCUCUGAAUGAAAUAAGGUAUAGUUCCAGAAAAUUGAUUGUCACAAAGUCGACUGCAUUUUCAGAAGGUAAACACAAUGAAUAAGAUAUUACGGUUCAUAUGAACAUCAAUAGAAUGAAUGUUUUUAAGUGUACCAAAAACAAUUAAGGGAAGGAUUUGUUACAUGUGCUUCAGUUUAGUGAGCUUAGCAAACGUUGCAGGUAAAUUACCAGUAAAAAAGUUCGAGGUAAGAAGCCUACAACAACAUUGAAAUUGGAAUUAGGUAUUGCAACUCUCAGUACGGUAAAAAUGAAUAAUUUCACCAAUUUUUUAGUUGUAGCAAUUUAGAAAAUGGCAGUGUAAUCACUUGCGGAUCACAUAACAUAGCAGUUUGUUCAAAUUCGGCUAUACUAUAACAUUGCUAUAGCCGCUAUUUGACAAAACUGGAAUAUAGAAAUUGUGAAUUCUACAAAGGAGCUUACAGUCUUUCAAGCUGGUGAAGAUUCCCAAGCUCUGGUGGAAGCUCUCCAGAUAACUGAUUGAACUUCAGAAUCCUAUGCAUUUAGUGUAUCAAACUUUAAGUUACUUGAAAGUUUUCAUAAAAUCUACAUAGGCAAAUUACUUACAAUUUUUGCAUAGUGCUGAUGUUUCCAAGCUCUUUCGGGAUUGAACCCGUUAAUCGGUUUCCUAUGAGUGAACUGUCACAAAGCAUGCAAAACUACUUAUAAGAUUAUAUUUCAAAAAGAAAACAAUAAUCUAAAACAAAAAUUUACAUAAAAAAUACCUAUUUCUUAGAAUUAUUUACUAUUUCUAAUAAUAGUAAUAAGAAUAGGAAAUAAAAGAAUGGUUAAGGGGAAAUACAUGUUGACAAGAUUCAUGGAACCCCAUUGUGGAGGGAUUGUACCAUUAAGGUAGUUGUUUGAGAGAUCACUGUACCACAUUAAGUAAAAUAAUCAAACAUUAAUACUGAAUUAUGAUAAUGAUAAAAAUUUAGUAAGGUAAAAUUAGAAUAACAUACAUUUGUUGGAGGUAAGGCAAUCUCACAAGUUCCUUUGGAAGUGUGCCAGAAAGAUUUUGUGAUCUGAGAACACUGCAUCAUAAUUAAUUAUAAGCUUGUGUUUUGACUCUAUAAGCUUGUGUAGCACCUUGAAAAAUAGGUUAUAAAUGAUGGACAGCUUAUAAGUCAAUUAUGUGCGAGUUGAGUUAGGUCCAAUUUAAAAUACUAAUAAUCUAUAAGAGCAUAUUGAUGCGAGUAUUUAUAUUCAAGCACCAAGUUCAAUAGUAUACAAUAUGAAAGAGAUUAUUGAAGGAAAAAGUACCGCAUAACAUAAAGAUAAAACUUAAAAUUAGUUUAUAAAGAAUAAUUGUUUUAUAGGAUUAGUAAGGCACAGUGUAAAAAUAUAAUAAUACCUGCACCAAACACAAAAUCGACACACAUAUGGAGAGCAAGAAAAUAACAUACAUGCUAACAAUAUGACAGACAGUGGCAUUGGCAAAAGUGCAAUUGCAUGUGACAGCAUUUUCAAACCCUUUGACUUUCACAGAAGAUUUCCAAUUAUUUUCUCCACUACAUGGAUCUUUGUUGAAGUCCCAAUCCUUCUUCCCAAGUGUCUUAGCUACAUCUUUCAUAACCUGUGCUGUAUAUUAAUUCAAAACCAAAAUUUGUUUUAAUAUCCUCAUGGAGACGAAAAACUUAAACAGAUAGCGAAAAUCGAACCUGAAACCUUGAGGAGAGCACAUUCCAAAGUCUCAAGUCAAAAUGACUAGACCAACUUAAACUAAGAGAGACGUUUAUAAGGUACAUACCUUCUUCUUGUAAGAGAGUAGCUCCACUAGCAAAUGAAGAGAUCAAACAAAAGGAAAGAAACAAAAGAUGCAAAGACUUGUUCAUGAUAGGCUUCAUAUUUGAAACAAGUGAAUGAAAGAAAAUGAAAUCAGUGGUUGAAAGUGUAAGGGUUAUAUUAAGCAAUUAUUGUAGCAUGAGAUACGUUCCCGGAAAGAGAUAUAUGGAAAAUAGACCACUCUAUGACUUAAUGAAAUGAAAAGUCAAUAGUAAUGUGAAAUAGACAAAAUUUAAGUAAGGGCCCGUGUACUUUCAUUUUUUCUGCUUUUUCAUUCAACUAGUACGUAGUAUAAGAUAAUAUACACUUGUUUACACUUACAAUAUUUUAAGUUGUUAACAAUGGUCUAUAAUCGAAGUUAUGAUAAUCCUUCAAAAAAAAUAAAAAAUCGAAGUUAUAAUAAGAACAAUGCAUGCACACCAUUUAGUUUAGGACAAAAAAAUCAUCAACAUCAUGAAAUAUAGAUUGUAUAUAACCAACCACACCAAGAGUUUUACAUUGAAAUAUUUAGUUUUGAUUAUCAUUGGUAUUUAUUUCAUUUUUUUUGUUUGAAUUCACAAAAUAGCACAAUCUUUGUUGACCAACCAUGGCCUCAAGUAAAAGUUUAAUGGAAAUGUUUCCCUCCUUUUUUUUAUAAUACUAACUAAUAUGGCCGCUGGUUUAAGAAGACUUCAACAGUUCGAUGACUUUUGUUUUCCACUUCCUUCUUUCCCAAUCACAUUUGAUUAUUUUAGUUUUUCACUAAGCACGUUCCAUCCAUAAUCAUGGGAUGCCCCAUCAACUCUUUUAAUAAGUGCUCUCCAUACCAUAACAUGACUUCCUUUCGUCAAACUCACGGAUUCGGCUAUACCUGCAAAACCAAUCAAAUGUAACGAGUUAAAACUUGCAAUACCUGUUCUUUGAUCCAUAUUGUGUGUAGAAACGUCCUAUCAAUUGAUCAACAAUGAUUUGGAACCAAGAUUUUGACAAAAGAUUUUUGAAAUGGGGAUUUUUUGUGGAAUGGUAUGGUGAGGUAAGGUGAUGAGUGAAUAGGACCUAGGGGUUUUCUUGUUUCGUGGGAGAAAAACAACGACAGUUAACUCCCGCUGGCUCCACCGGCAAUUAACUGCUGUCGGUUAACCCAACGGUAGUUAACUACCGCUGGGGACUCUAAUGUAAUUUACUUGUGUCAUUGUGAACUUUUGUAUGUCAAAAAGCAAUUUUCAAUGAUAAUUAAUUGUUAUGGGUACACUUAAAGUUAAAUGUAGAUGCGAUACCUAUUAGACCAUGUCCAAUGGUGUUUAAUGGGUAUGUUGAAAGCAACAUUCAACAAGUGAAAUGCUCCAAUGGCGGUGUUUAAUAGUGAUGUGGAUGAAAGAGAGGUUGAAUGGUUUCAACAAUGUUUAAUCUGACGCAAGGGAACACGUGGCGGACUUCAGUUGGCCAGAAAUGGCGCGUGAAGCUGCAGAGGCUGGAGAGAGAAACGGAAAUCAGGAUAGAUAUGGACACAUGUUCAGUUUUGAUUGGUUGUCCGGAUUCUUAUCAUUUUAAUAAUUGGACCUCAAUAUUUCGUUGUAAAUUAUUUUUUAAAAAAAAAAAAAACCAAAAUUCAUGAUUUUUUUCUCUCUAUAAAUAGAGACUUGGUUCAUUUGAUUUGGACAAAGAAAAAAAAACCAAGUUUUUCACUAUCUUAAUCUUAUUAUUAUCUUUCUAUUAGAAAACUAAGUGAAGUUUUAAUCUUAUUUUUAGUGAAAUGGAUCCCAAUAAUAACCAUUUCAACACCCAAAAUUAUUCUAAUUACCCAUUUAACUAAUAAAAUCCCAACAAUUAUCCAAAUCCAAAUCAAUUUUUCAACCAACGUCCUCAAAACUUACCUCAAAACAUACAUAAUUUUGGUUUUACACCAAAUUUCAACCAGUCAUCCUCUUUUCCAAACUUUCAUCCAUAUUAUGGAUCUAUGAUGAGAUAUCCAUCUCAAACACCACCGUUUAAUGGUUAUAUGCCAAUGGAGAAUGAAAAUUUUCCCAUUAUUGGUGCAUCUCAAUUUCCUGAAUUUCCAACACAUAUAACUCCUGGUGGCAUGGCUGUUGCUAAUGAAGUCACUCCAAAUCCAGAAGAUUCAACUCCUAAGAGCAACAAAAGUAAGGAACCAACAUGGAACACUGAACAACAUUUGGUGUUAAUUAGUGCAUGGAUUAAGUUUGGAACAAACAAUGUUGUCGGGAGAAUCCAGAGGGGUGAAACAUAUUGGGGUAAAAUUGAUGAGUAUUGUAUUGAGUAUGGCUCAUUUGAUUCUCCGCGGGAUCUAGUUGCAUGCCAAAACCGUUUUAAUUAUAUGAGCAAAGUAAUAAAUAAAUGGAUUAGUGCUUAUGAUGCCGCUAAGCGUUUGCAAGGAAGCGGUUGGUCGGAAGAUGAUAUUUUGGCAAAAGCGCAGGAAUAUUUGCAUGUGGGAAGAAUGUUCAAUUUACUUUAAACGAAGAAUGACACGCUCUCCGUGAUCAACCACGUUAUGGUAGUCAAAUGGGAGGAAAUGUUGGGUCAGGAAGUAGUGGAUCUAAGAGAUCUCAGGAGGACUUUGUAGGAUCUAGUGCUCGUCCAAUGGGUAGGGAGGAAGCUUAAAACAAAGGUAAAAAGAAAAUCAAGAACGCUGCCUUGGAGGAGGUGGAAAAGAAGUGGGUUGAAUUCAAAGAAAUCAAGGUGCAAGAGAUCGAACAAUUGAAAGAGUUCACCGCGGUGCAACAUGAGAAAUACAGAUUGAAGAAAAUGAAACUGUAUGUAAUGUUAAGUUCCGGAGAACAUCUCGAUGACCGGAAAAAAGAGAUGUUGGAAAACUUGGAACGUGAGCUGUUUGAAAAUUAAUUUCAAUCAAAUAUUUGUUUGUAUUCGGUAAUAAUUGUCAGUGUUGUCUAGUCCCAGUGUUUUCUUUAAUAAUUGUCAGUGUUUGCUUUAAUAAUUGUUAGUGUUGUCUAGUCCUCAGUGAUUGCUUUAUUAUCCCCAUUGAUAGUCCCCAAUGUUGUCUAGUCCCCUGUGACUUAUGUCACAUACUAUUUGCUUUAAUAAUUAUGCUCACUGUGUGCCCAUUAUUUCACAUACUAUUUGCUUUAAUAAUUAUCUCAACUAUUUGCUUUAAUACAAUACAAUAACUUAUUUCAAAUCCGUCAAUGUCCACCACACAAUGUACUUAUAUAUAGGGACUCAUAUCUACUUCCAAUUUCACAAAUCUCAUUCACAUCUACUUCCAAUUUCACAAAUCUCAUUUAUAUCUACUUCCAAUAUCACAAAAAACUAUUCAAUCUACUUCCAAAAAAACUAUUAAUGGACCCUUUUGAUAUCGAAGUUGUUGUACCCUGAUUUUGGACCUAAAAAUACUCGUUCAAAUUUCUUUUUUAACACUGAUAUUUGUCAAUUCUCUGUUAUUUUACUCUGAAUCUUUACUCUCUUUUUAAACGUAUUUUACUGCCUCUGUCUUUUCUGACAUUACAAGUCAUUUAAGAACUCUCUGAAACGUCGCAUUACUUUUCUUGCAUUUUNNNNNNNNNNNNNNNNNNNNNNNNNNNNNNNNNNNNNNNNNNNNNNNNNNNNNNNNNNNNNNNNNNNNNNNNNNNNNNNNNNNNNNNNNNNNNNNNNNNNGCGAACGGUGAUGGAAAUUUGAUUCCUCUAAUUCUUGAUCAUUAUGAACAACCUAGUACUGUUUAUCAUGUUCAUCUUUUUGAUAGUCCCUCUUAUGUUGCAGUCACUCCAAUUUUAACACAUCCGAAUUGUCAUGCUAGGGCUCGAUCCAUGAGACGAGCUUUUGGAGCAAAGAACAAAUUUGAUUUUGUUGAUGGUUCUAUACAUGUUUCUACGGGGUUUGAUCCAAGUUUCAAGUCUUGGAAUCGCUGCAAUAUGCUUGUUCAUUUGUGGAAAAUGAACUAUCUUGAUGAAUCAAUUGCGCACCACAUAGUUUUUCUGGAAAAUGCAAUUGACGUUUGGAAUGAGCUAAAGCAAAGAUUUUCGUAAGGUGAUUAUAUGAAACACGGCUGAAGUUUGCUAUAAGAAACAUGAUUUUCCUCCUCAUGCUAUCUACAUUAGGACUUGUUUGGGACUUUUGAAACUUAAAAGACCACUUUGGGAAAAACGAAAAACUUAAAAGGACCUUUAGAUGCAUUUGACCUUAAUAUUUCAAUAAGUUGAAUACAGAAUUUCCAAGAUAAAGUUUAUACUUCCAGUUUCUUUUUUUAUAUAUAUAGUUUAUUUUUUAAAAUCUAUAAGGAGAAUCCAUGCUGAUAGAACGCAUAUCUGUAUGAGACAUAAAUUCUGCAGUUUCACUUAUUAAGAUGCUCUCUUCUUGAGUCUCUGGUGUAUAAACUUUUUCACUUUGUUCACAAUACUGUUGAAUAAUUUCCAACUGUUGAUGAUACUGUUGAAUAAUUUCCAACUUAUUGCCUUCAAAAACUUGGUUUGUGUCUUGUAUAACUUCUUCAACAUCAGAUUGUCCUUCAAGCAUGCUUACAACUGAUGACAUGGUUGGUCUAUGCAUCGGAGAAACACGAGUGCAUAAAAGAGCUACAUUGAUCAUGAUCAUCGCUUCCUCUUUGUUGAAAUCUUCACCUAGCCUCUCAUCAAUUAGGUCCAUUAUGUUACCUUCUUCCUUUAAGAAAUGCACCUGAUAAAGAUGAAAUACAAACAAACUUCAAGAUAUUGUGAUGAAGACUCAAAUUGGAUAGAAGGUAUGAAGUUAUGGGUGUGUUAGUUACCCAAUCAACAAGAGAGAAGCAUUCAUCCCUUGGCUUAUUCAUGGUGUUGUGCUUCCCACUAACAAUUUCCAAGGCAACGACUCCAAAACUAUAAACAUCCACUUUCUCCGUCAAAUAUCCGUGCAUUGCAUAUUCUGGAGCCAUAUAUCCACUGCAACAUCGAAAUUUAUAUAUUAACUCAAGUGGAUUAAACUAAAUUUUAAGAGGUUUUAUUCUUUUCUUCCUCACAUUACACUUAGAAAAUGAUAAAUACCCUUCGACAAAUUCCAUAAAAAAAAAGAACACAUUGUAUAUAGAACUCACUAUGUGCCGGCUACUCUAGUAGUUAUAUGUGUGUGUCCGUCAUCUUUAAGCUUAGCCAAACCAAAAUCAGAUAUCUUUGGAUUGAGAUCUUUAUCGAGCAACACAUUAGUUGCUUUGAUGUCCCUGUGAACUAUCUUAAGCCUCGACUCUUCAUGUAGGUAAGCCAAACCUCUAGCAAUACCGACACAAAUGUUCUUCCUUGUCGACCAAGUCAAUUUCAAUUGAGCGUUUUCUUUGGCUUCAUUUUCAAAUGUCAUAGAAAAUUAGACAACAAAAUCAUAUGGUGUGUGUGUGUAUGCGCAGAGAGACACACAUAACAUUGUAGUGUAUGCGCAGAGAGACACACAUAACAUUGUAGAUUAUAUUAAUGAAAGUGCUACAAAACUUGACUACAUGGAAAAAAGUUUACCAAACAAAGCACAAGCAAGGCUAUUAUUUUCCAUGUAUUCAUAUAUUAGUAAUAACUGAUCUCCCUCCAUACAGCAACCAUAGAGCUUAACUAGACAAGGGUGUUGCAAAGCAGAAAUCAAGCCGAUCUCAUUUAUAAAUUCGCGGUUCCCUUGCUUUGAUUUAGAGGAAAGCUGCUUAACUGCUACUAUUGUGCCGUCUGAAAGAACACCCUGCAAUUCAAGGAAUUUAUAUUAUAUCUCUGUACGUGAAAGAAGUAAAAACAAUAAUAGAUAUAUCAAUGACAUUCAAAUUUGAAAUGAAAGUGUAGAUUGUACAAAUACCUUGUAAACCGGACCAAACCCUCCUUCUCCAAUCUUAUAGGCAAUAUCAAAGUUGUUAGUCGCUGCUUUGAUUUGCCGUAACGUAAAUAGCCCAGGUUGGAAAUCUAAACCCUUUAGCUCUGUUGAUUGAAGUAAAAAAGAAUAUAUAAAUAAAAUCAGAGAUAUUUUUUUGAGUAACUUCCACAUCAAUACUUUUAGCAAGUACAAAUCUAGACACAAUGGCAGCCUUGAGCUCUAUAUUUUUAUAAAAUCAAAUUCAGCUUAUUAUGCUUAUAAAAGAAUUUCCGAAAGUUAAUUUUCAGGGUCUUACCUCUUUCUAACGGACCCAUAUGUUGUCGACAUCUUCUCCACCAAUAUAUACCAAAUACUAGUAAGAUAACUAGUCCUCCAGCAACAACAAUCACAGCAAUUUCCCAAACAGGUAUGCUACUGCCUUUUUCCACCGGCGGUGUAAAGUCUGUUUAAUUAUGAUAUAAUAUAAAAGGUUGUCAUAUAGACCAUAUUAGAGGAUGAUGGAAUAAGAAGAACCAUGAAGAACUAUAACUGACCAGGAUCAACCGAUAUAGCCGAUAUAAGAGGACCAUGUACUGAAUCAAAUGGGAUACCGGUUGUCCCUUUCCCCGCCCAAUGAAGGCGAAUCUCCAACGUAUUACUAGUCACAUUAGCAGUGAACUUCUUUAUGAUUGCCUUACCAACUCCACCGGCUUCUUUUGCAAUAUUGAAAUCCUUCAGCACCAACCUUCCCUGCAAAAUGGUUUAUAACGGUCAAAGGAAACUUGUUCAAUACUAAACAUGUUGCUGAAAAACAUAAGAUGAUGAGAUCAUGCACCUGAAUAUAUAUGUCAAAUAUACGUCUUCCAAGGCUGUUAUAUGUUUGAUCAUCCGUAAACAUUAUCUCCGCAAAAUGGAGAUUUACAGUGUAGUUUCCAUUUCCCAGACAAAAGCCAUAAUAUGUUAGAGAAAGCGGCGAAACCCGUGCAUCCAUAUACAGUUCGGCAUUUUCCAUGGCAAGGUUAGUUUUGUUAGACCAGGUAUAGUAGUCCGCAAGGCUAUCGAAGAAGUGACCAGUGUUGCUAAGGGCCCAGUUUGAUCCAGUUCGCUGAAAGCUUGCUGGUCCAACUUGACUUGAAUCAUCAUCAUAUGUCAAACUUUCAUUCGAAGUUAUUUUCUUACCACCACAAUUUAUACGGAGAGAGUACGAAGCUGGAAUGGUCAAAAGAAAAAAAAUGCGAAGUACAAUAAGAUGAUCGUAUUAUAAAUAAAAAUUGUAAGAUUAGAACCUAGAACAACAACCUUGAUUCGAAAGAAAACAAAUAUGAAAAACACAAAAAGAGAAUACUAGGAUUUAUUGUAGAAAUAAGCUCAAAUAAGCAUUUGUAAGCUCAAAUAAGCCAAUUCAAACAGGCCCUAAGUAGAAAUUAUUAAGUUAAAAGCACCAGCAGGUAUCCUACAAUCUAAAGGAAAACCACGACAAAUCAACUUACUUUUAGGACAGCUGAAGUUCCCCAAACAUGAAACCCUUCCCCUAAGAAAUAAUGGUGUGUAACAUAUCAGCAUAAUCACAUUAUAAAAUAAUUUAUUAUGACUCAUGAGUAGUACAAAACUUACAAGUUAUUUCGCUUUGAAGAUGAUGCAAAUAAGUUCCUGCGGCACAUGGUAAACAGCAAAAGAUUAGAUAGUUUCUUAAAAUUGUUGAAACAAAAAAAGUAUGAAAAAACAAGGAUUCUUACACGGUUCCCUGUUGACAUGUCAACUGCUCUGGAUUUUCAAUGCUCAAAUUGUUAUACGAAAGAUCUCUGCAUGUGUCAAAUUAUGCAUGUGAUUCAGAAAUAAAGAUGUAACAAAGAACUAUAUGUAACACUUUUUGGUAUAGAAAUUUCGAAAACUAGUUGUACAAAAAUUUAGCAUGCAGAAGUAAUAAUUAACCUCAAUAAAUUAAAUAAGCAGCGUUUGAAGGAUUACUCACGUGUAGUCUGGUCUAGCAAUCCAAUUUGGAAGCGGUCCAGUAAAAAGGUUUCCAGUUAAGUAUCUAAGUAAAAAAAUAAGAUAAGAUUAAUGAAGACUAGAUUAAAGUUUAAGGAUAUCAAGAAACAACUUGCCCCAAUGUUCUACGCUUUCUCCUUAUUUCCAUUUAUAGAUUUACCUGUUUUUCUAAUCAUUCUCAAUUUAGAUUUUCAGCGAGAGGCCGCGACGUGAUUAUCUCAUGGUGAUAUAUAAAUUUAUUGGUCUGAAGUUUAAGAACAAAAAUAAAUAAAAUAUAUGCACAUAGACAUAGUUCUAGAUUGCAGUUCGCAACUGCAAUAGGGUUUUAGAGGUUUCUGCAACGGCAUCAAACUGCAAUUGUGGCCGUAUUUGCCUGCACUGUUGCAGUGUAAUUGCAUUUUAGAACCAUGCAUGCACAUGGACUUGAAAUGGAUAAAUAUUUAUGAGAGAAAUGAAUCAGAUUCACGAUUUUCCACUUGCGUCUCUAUCUAAAAUCCAAUCUAUUAAUAAUCUCGUUGCUUCGUUGCAAACAAUUCUAACCUUGUCUUCAUAAGUUUAAAUCACACUUUCUUUCAGGUAUCUUUAAGAAUUCAAUUUGGUGUAUACAAGUAACUCAGAGGAUAUUGCUUACAGCAUAUUUAUGUUCUUCAGGCCACCCAAGGUGAUCGGAAUCGGUCCAGUUAAUUUGUUAAAACUGAGAUCUCUGAAAAAGAAAUUAUGCUCAGAAUAAAUAUUAUUCGACAAGAAAAAUGUUUUAGUCCCGAUAACAUAACAAAAGAAGCAUCUUGUUUUUCACCAAAAUUUGAGUACUGAUUGCAUCUAUUGUAACUGGUUCUAACGCAUGUGAAUAAUGCAAGAAACUUCCUAGUAUUACUUACAAAGAUUUUAAAGUAGUAAUAUGUCCAAGAUAGUCGGGAACUUCUCCUAUAAGAUUGCAACUCCUCAGCACUCUGUCAAAAAAAUUGAUACUAUGUAAAUUUUUAAGUGCAAUGCACUUAUGCUAAUAAUCCAAGCAAUUCCCUUACAAUGUUUGAAUAUUUGUCAAGCCAAUAAGUUGCGGAAAAGGAGAAUCUGAUCCUUUCAAGUCGCUUAUUCUCCUGCAUAACAUUUAUUAAUCACUGUAAAACUCAAUAAGAGAAAAAUUGAAUUUUAAAUCCUUGACCAAAAUCUAUAAAGCACUAACACAAAUACCGAACACGAUACUGACGUUGACAUACAUGUAGUGUGUCGGACACUAGACUCACAUUCAAUUUAAAUGUCGGUGUUAAAGAUCACAAGAAAAUACAUCAUACUUACAAGCCAUUGAGGUUUUUCAGAUAUGAAAUUCCAGAAGGAAUUGGACCACUCAAACCACUCCCUUGCAUCACCCUGUCAAAAUUAAAAGUUAUUAUUUUGACAAACCAGCUUAACUAAGAAAAAAAAUUAUGAUUUAGAAUUUCGNGAUCGAUUUUGAGCAACCUGGGGGAAGUGGAUCAAGUACACCGCAACCAUACUCGACCGGGGUGUUACCAGCUUUUGCAAAUCAUGUGCGUGCUAGAUCCGAGUUGCGUCAUCCAGAUGUUCGUCACGAACUGCAAGUAGAUCUAGUGAAGCACAUAUGGACAAAGUUUGGAAUGUAUCAUGAUUGAAGAUGAUUUCUAUCGUACUAAAUAAAUUAUUUGUGUGUUGUAUUUCAUUUUAAGUUAUUUGUGUGCCGCGUGUUUAGUUUGUUGUAUUGCAUUUUAAGUUAAGAAAAUAAAAAUAAAUUAUUUUGCAAAAUUUUGUUUUUUUCAAAAAACCUAAAAAAUAAAUAGUUAAUUGUAUUAUUUUAAUUUAAUUAUAAUCGAUAAUUUUAUGUAACUAUAAAAACAAAAAUUAAAUAAGAAUAAGAAAUACAAAGUGGUGGGGUAGAGUGUUGAAUGAAAAACCAUUGGAGAGGGUAAAAGUUGAAUGAGUAUUGAAUAAGAGAGAGAAAAUGAUGUGGAGUGUUGGAAAUUGAAAAAAUAGGUGUUGAAAGGGAAAAUCAUUGGACAUGGUCUUACAAUCCAUCUAAAUAAAAGUUUUUAUUUUUUUAUUUUUUUUUACAAAAACAAAACGAUAUUCAUUCAUUCAAAUCGAUAGAGUACAUCAGAUACAAACAUCACUAAAAACGUAAAGGGUGAAUUUGCGAACAAACUCACAACACCCAAUUUAACAGCAAUAUAAUAAAUUUUCUUUCUUUCAUCUCUAGUUUUCUCUCUUAAUUUCUAGAGUGUGAUCCCUACUCGAAUUGGACCAUAUCAUAAUGCUACUACAAUUAUGAUUUUUGGUACACUUUAAUUUAUGUUUAUGAAAGAUUUCCAUAUUGUAGACAAGCUCAUAAGAAUUUUAUAGACAAACCCUAUAUUAUAAUUGUCGUUUGACAACAUAAUAUUAUAAAAAUAUAGUUUUUGUGGGGAUUAUGAAAAUAUUCUUAUUACCAUUAUUCACUCAUAUAAAAAUAAGCUCAUAAGAAUUUUAUAGACAAACCCUAUAUUAUAAUUGUCUUUUGACAAAAUAAUAUUAUAAAAAUAUUGUUUUUGUGGGGAUUAUAAAAAUAUUCUUAUUACCAUUAUUCACUAAUAUAAAAAUAUUGAGAAAAACGUCAUUCCAUAAUUCCUCUAAAAAAGAAAACACAUUCCUUAGUUAUAGUGUAUGUUCGCUCAUGAAUUGAAUUAUAAAAUAAAUCACACUUAAUUUGAACUUAAUUUGAACAAGAUAAACGAAAUGAUAAACAUUAUAUCCUUUUUCAAUAAAACUAAUUAAUAUUAUUUAUUUGGAAAAUUAAAGGUUUUUUUUUUUUUUUUGUAACAAAGUUUGUUUUUGUUACGUGCAAAUUUAAAUUUCCAUGAAAGACAGGAUAUGAAAGUUUUUGUUACCUAUAAGGUGUGUUUGAUAUGCUAAAAAAUGAAGGAUAAAACAUAACAACUUCAGUUGUAUAAUGUUUGAUUUGUAAAACUCUUUAGGGAUAGAACAAAUUGAAGGCAAAGAACAUAACAAAAAGCGUAUAAGGCUAGAUAUUAUUCAAUACUAUAAAAUUUUGUUACGUGUUGUUCUGUCUUAUUUUGUGCUAUAUAUUUUGUUUUGAGGAGUUCUGUCCAGUUGUUACUGUUUAACAUAUCAAACACACCCAUAAUAAUGGUUUCUUGUGUAGUUAAAAUUCUAUUAUUAAGAUCAAUAACAUUGUUAAAAAUCUCAAGUGCAAAAUAUAAUAACAAUUCUAAUGGAAAAAACAAAAGACUUCGUUAAUGUUACUUCAAAAAAAAAAAAAGACUUCAUUAAUGUUAAAAAAGGAAGAAAGAGCGAGUGAUAGAGAGAGGAUCCAUCAAUUUAUUUAUUUUUUGUUUUUGGUGAAAUGACCCAUCAAUUUUACCAGUGAGAUGAGUGUAUGUAAAAAAAUAAUGAAUUUAUUGGAGAGAGGGGGUAAUGUAUCACAAUUAUUUAUUAUUGAAGAAAAGAUUAGACAUCAAAGUUAUUUGAAAGAAAGAGUGAAUGCGAGAAAAAAAAAAAUUUAUUGCUGGAUUAGAAUGAGGGUAUAAUAAAAAAAACAAAAAAGUACACUUCAUUAAUUUGAGGGUGUUAUUCUAAAAUGACACGUAAAAAGAAAUAGAUGAAAUAUAAUUAUCCUAGUAAAUAGAUUUUCAAUGAGAAGCUCGUUUUAUUCAUUUUGAGAUGGAAAAGAUAACAAAAUAUUAAAAUAAAAAAUUGAGGUUGUACCAUGUUAAACUUGUAAAUAGAACUGAGAAAUAGUUAACUUGUGCAACAAGUUAACUUGAUAUGCAAGCUUCUGCAUAAGUUAGACAUUAGAAUAAUGACAGCUAUGAGUUAGUUAGGAUUAUACACAUAACACACAUUCUCUUUUCUUCCUAGCUUCUGCAAUUUCUAUGGUUUUCAUUAUGUUGAUGAUGAACUUCAUGACAGUAUCAGAGCUAAUGCCGCUGCGAACGGUGAUGGAAAUUUGAUUCCUCUAAUUCUUGAUCAUUAUGAACAACCUAGUACUGUUUAUCAUGUUCAUCUUUUUGAUAGUCCCUCUUAUGUUGCAGUCACUCCAAUUUUAACACAUCCGAAUUGUCAUGCUAGGGCUCGAUCCAUGAGACGAGCUUUUGGAGCAAAGAACAAAUUUGAUUUUGUUGAUGGUUCUAUACAUGUUUCUACGGGGUUUGAUCCAAGUUUCAAGUCUUGGAAUCGCUGCAAUAUGCUUGUUCAUUUGUGGAAAAUGAACUAUCUUGAUGAAUCAAUUGCGCACCACAUAGUUUUUCUGGAAAAUGCAAUUGACGUUUGGAAUGAGCUAAAGCAAAGAUUUUCGUAAGGUGAUUAUAUGAAACACGGCUGAAGUUUGCUAUAAGAAACAUGAUUUUCCUCCUCAUGCUAUCUACAUUAGGACUUGUUUGGGACUUUUGAAACUUAAAAGACCACUUUGGGAAAAACGAAAAACUUAAAAGGACCUUUAGAUGCAUUUGACCUUAAUAUUUCAAUAAGUUGAAUACAGAAUUUCCAAGAUAAAGUUUAUACUUCCAGUUUCUUUUUUUAUAUAUAUAGUUUAUUUUUUAAAAUCUAUAAGGAGAAUCCAUGCUGAUAGAACGCAUAUCUGUAUGAGACAUAAAUUCUGCAGUUUCACUUAUUAAGAUGCUCUCUUCUUGAGUCUCUGGUGUAUAAACUUUUUCACUUUGUUCACAAUACUGUUGAAUAAUUUCCAACUGUUGAUGAUACUGUUGAAUAAUUUCCAACUUAUUGCCUUCAAAAACUUGGCUUGUGUCUUGUUUAACUUCUUCAACAUCAGAUUGUCCUUCAAGCAUGCUUACAACUGAUGACAUGGUUGGUCUAUGCAUCGGAGAAACACGAGUGCAUAAAAGAGCUACAUUGAUCAUGAUCAUUGCUUCCUCUUUGUUGAAAUCUUCACCUAAUCUCUCAUCAAUUAGGUCCAUUAUGUUACCUUCUUCCUUUAAGAGAUGCACCUGAUAAAGAUGAAAUACAA